UGGUCGGGAUAGCUCAGCUGGUAGAGCAGAGGACUAAGUCCCAA
RNAcentral lists this transfer RNA (44 nucleotides) under Rhynchoglossum obliquum. RNAcentral describes it as "partial transfer RNA-Phe". Lineage: Eukaryota; Viridiplantae; Streptophyta; Magnoliopsida; Lamiales; Gesneriaceae. The record is from RNAcentral.